This 828-nucleotide unclassified non-coding RNA is filed under the name uncultured soil eukaryote. Its description in RNAcentral is "sequence contains 18S rRNA gene, ITS1, 5.8S rRNA gene, ITS2, 28S rRNA gene". The stretch from base 408 to 828 matches the Rfam family "Eukaryotic large subunit ribosomal RNA", at positions 1 to 418 of the family's 3401-position model. The record is from RNAcentral.
GGAAGGAUCAUUAACACUGCUUGGGAUUUCGUCCCGCUCAAACAACAUGUUGGCCCGGUGCGUCGUUGAAAUUUUAACUGGUUGCUCGAACGGCUAAAGUCUAUUUCUACAAACGAAAAACAACUCUUAGCAAUGGAUAUCUUGGUUCCCGUAACGAUGAAGAACGCAGCGAAAUGCGAUACGUAAUGCGAAUUGCAGAAUUCAGUGAAUCAUCGAAUCUUUGAACGCAAGUUGCGCUUUCGAGAGCCCUCGGAAGCAUGCCUCUCUGAGUAUCGGUUUCCACUACUUGGCUCUGAGCUAGUGAGUGUGGCUUUGUCCUCGUUCGCACGGGGCCCAUGCCGCUUGGUAUCACCGGGUGCCUGGUCUUCUUGAAGUCGCAUUCAAGAUCACGGAAUCAACCAACACAAAGAUCUCAGAUGAGGUAAGACUACCCGCCGAAUUUAAGCAUAUAAUUAAGCGGAGGAAAAGAAACUAACUAGGAUUCCCUCAGUAACGGCGAGUGAAGCGGGAAGAGCUCAAACCGAAAAUCUCUGUCGCAAGGCAGCGAAUUGUGGUCUAUUGAGGCGUGUCUCAGUGUCGGUCCCGGCCUAAGUCCAUUGGAACAUGGCAUCAGAGAGGGUGAGAAUCCCGUCUUUGGCUGGGGUGUUCCGGCGCGUUCGAGCCGUCCUCUAAGAGUCGGCUUGCUUGGGAGUGCAGGCCUAAGUGGGUGGUAAAUUUCAUCCAAAGCUAAAUACAUGCGGGAGACCGAUAGCGAACAAGUACCGUGAGGGAAAGAUGAAAAGAACUUUGAAAAGAGAGUCAAAAGUACUUGAAAUUGCUGGGAUCGAA